AAUAGAGCCUUUAAGAACAUUCCUAGGAUGCUCUUAUUCUGAUAAGCUUCUUCUCUCCCUCUUUUUUUUUUUUUUUAAAUUCUUGAUAUAUAAUUUAAACAACAUUUGGAAUCUAGUGAGAGUCUGGUAGGAUUAAGGUCCAAAUAAGCUAGAGUGCUAGUUGGCGCUGUUUAAAGGACUCAAGUGACCAAAGGCUUGAGUUUUGUGCUCCUGAAGCUGGAACCAGGUUAGCAUAAAGACUAGAGUAACAGGCCAAACACACUAUCCUCUGAACCAGGGACUGGUGGUGCGGCAUGCUGCAUUGCCUGGCAGAGGGUCAUCGCGUUCCGCUAAUGGUGGGAAGUCAGCUCAGUUGGCAGGGAGUGGGAUGGGGAUCCAAAUGAAAGAGUAUAGGAAAGUAAAUCUCUCUCUCUUCACACAGUGCUUUUUUCUUAUUCAUAAAAUACAUUAUAAUGACACCAUUAUUUAAACCUAGUGUCCAUGCAGCAGCCUUUAUCUGCAUUCAUAUGUAUGCCAUGUAUUAAACACAGUUAUUGUUGGGCAUUUGAACUUUUUCUUUCAUAGGAAAUAAUGCCUCUAUUAGACGUCUUUGAAAAUGG
This is a long non-coding RNA of Myotis daubentonii (Daubenton's bat), 599 nucleotides long. RefSeq lists it as uncharacterized. NCBI's taxonomy places the organism in Eukaryota, Metazoa, Chordata, Mammalia, Chiroptera, Vespertilionidae. The transcript is spliced from 2 exons. The record is from RefSeq and is a predicted model, not a curated record.